GCCUCUUUAGCUCAGUUGGUAGAGCACGGGCUUUGUACUCCCGGGGUCGUUGGUUCGAAUCCGACAAGAGGCU
Molecule: transfer RNA, 73 nt
Filed under: Holdemanella biformis
Lineage: Bacteria; Bacillati; Bacillota; Erysipelotrichia; Erysipelotrichales; Erysipelotrichaceae
Also listed under: 1 other name
Description: tRNA-Thr
Rfam family: tRNA
About the family: Transfer RNA (tRNA) molecules are approximately 80 nucleotides in length. Their secondary structure includes four short double-helical elements and three loops (D, anti-codon, and T loops). Further hydrogen bonds mediate the characteristic L-shaped molecular structure. tRNAs have two regions of fundamental functional importance: the anti-codon, which is responsible for specific mRNA codon recognition, and the 3' end, to which the tRNAs corresponding amino acid is attached (by aminoacyl-tRNA synthetases). tRNAs cope with the degeneracy of the genetic code in two manners: having more than one tRNA (with a specific anti-codon) for a particular amino acid; and 'wobble' base-pairing, i.e. permitting non-standard base-pairing at the 3rd anti-codon position.
Source: RNAcentral